UCCCAAUGCACCGGUUCCUAGAACUUUC
Molecule: non-coding RNA, 28 nt
Filed under: Rattus norvegicus (Norway rat)
Lineage: Eukaryota; Metazoa; Chordata; Mammalia; Rodentia; Muridae
Source: RNAcentral